Molecule: long non-coding RNA, 309 nt
Filed under: Homo sapiens (human)
Lineage: Eukaryota; Metazoa; Chordata; Mammalia; Primates; Hominidae
Description: non-protein coding lnc-UROS-3:1
Source: RNAcentral
UGGAAACGUGCCUGUCAUAGAAGUGAAAAAUAAACACCCUGUGGAGGUUGUGUACCUUAGUGAGGCUCAAAAGGAUUCUUUUGAGUCUAUUUUACGCCUUAUCUUUGAAAUUCACCACUCGGGUGAGAAAGGUGACAUUGUAGUCUUUCUGGCCUGUGAACAGUGUACAACCCGAGAAUAAGAGCAAACUCGCUCGUCAUGCAGCCCAUCAGCCAGAGCCAGGCAGAGAUACGCAAGCAGAUUCUUGGCUCAUCUUCUUCAGAAAAUUUUUCUGCCUGUACACUGAAGAAUUUGCCUCCAAAGACAUGA